Ipomoea nil (Japanese morning glory) is the source of this 73-nucleotide transfer RNA. It matches the Rfam family "tRNA". From Rfam's summary of the family: Transfer RNA (tRNA) molecules are approximately 80 nucleotides in length. Their secondary structure includes four short double-helical elements and three loops (D, anti-codon, and T loops). NCBI's taxonomy places the organism in Eukaryota, Viridiplantae, Streptophyta, Magnoliopsida, Solanales, Convolvulaceae. The record is from Rfam.
GGGGAUGUAGCUCAUAUGGUAGAGCGCUUGCUUUACAUGCGAGAAGUACGGGGAUUGAUACCUUGCAUUUACA